UUUAACGAGAGUUUGAUCCUGGCUCAGGAUGAACGCUGGCGGCGUGCUUAACACAUGCAAGUCGAGCGAAGCACUUUGCUUGGAUUUCUUCGGAAUGACGAGUUUUGUGACUGAGCGGCGGACGGGUGAGUAACGCGUGGGUAACCUGCCUCAUACAGGGGGAUAACAGUUAGAAAUGACUGCUAAUACCGCAUAAGACCACAGCACCGCAUGGUGCAGGGGUAAAAACUCCGGUGGUAUGAGAUGGACCCGCGUCUGAUUAGCUGGUUGGUGGGGUAACGGCCUACCAAGGCGACGAUCAGUAGCCGGCCUGAGAGGGCGACCGGCCACAUUGGGACUGAGACACGGCCCAAACUCCUACGGGAGGCAGCAGUGGGGAAUAUUGCACAAUGGGGGAAACCCUGAUGCAGCGACGCCGCGU
This 421-nucleotide ribosomal RNA is filed under the name Ruminococcus sp. B05. RNAcentral's name for it is "bacterial SSU rRNA". It matches the Rfam family "Bacterial small subunit ribosomal RNA", at positions 1 to 402 of the family's 1533-position model. The record is from RNAcentral. Lineage: Bacteria; Bacillati; Bacillota; Clostridia; Eubacteriales; Oscillospiraceae. RNAcentral also lists the same sequence under 1 other name.